This 775-nucleotide ribosomal RNA is filed under the name uncultured Neocallimastigales. Its description in RNAcentral is "partial large subunit ribosomal RNA". It matches the Rfam family "Eukaryotic large subunit ribosomal RNA", at positions 22 to 621 of the family's 3401-position model. Lineage: Eukaryota; Fungi; Neocallimastigomycota; Neocallimastigomycetes; Neocallimastigales. The record is from RNAcentral.
CAUAGCGACUAUCGUGGCAUAUCAAUAAGCGGAGGAAAAGAAACUAACUAGGAUUCCCUCAGUAACGGCGAGUGAAGCGGGAAGAGCUCAAAUUUGAAAUCUUCAAGGUUCUACCUUGACGAAUUGUAGUUUAAUGAAGUGUUUUCUGUUGGAGUUUUGGUAAAAGUUCUUUGGAAUAGGACAUCAUAGAGGGUGAGAAUCCCGUAUUUGACCAUUAUUUACAACUUUGUGAUACACUUUCAAAGAGUCGGAUUGUUUGGGAAUGCAGUCCAAAAUGGGUGGUAAAUUUCAUCUAAAGCUAAAUAUUGGCGAGAGACCGAUAGCGAACAAGUACCGUGAGGGAAAGAUGAAAAGAACUUUGAAAAGAGAGUUAAACAGUACGUGAAAUUGUCAAAAGGGAAGCGUUUGACACCAGUGUUGUUUUCUCGAAAAUCAAUUAAAAAUGGCGGAUUUUGUGUUGUAUUGACCUUAUAAGCUUUCUGCACUCUUUUCUUAUCUUUUUUAAUGCACUUUUCGUUUAACAAGUCAACAUCAAUUUCUUUUGUUGUAAAAGAGUCAUUGGAAGGUGGCUUUCUUUUCGGAGAAAGUGUUUAUAGCCUUUGAUCUCUGCAGUCCGGAGAGACUGAGGUCUGCAGCGUAGACUCUUCGGGGUUAGAUACAUUUGUGCUAAGCUAUAGCUUUUUAUAGACAACUUGUUGACUAUGAUCAGUCAUGUAGGCUUACUCGCUUAUGUCAUUUUACCUACGCUUAGGAUGUUGAUAUGCAUGACUGAUAU